UACGUAGGGUGCGAGCGUUAAUCGGAAUUACUGGGCGUAAAGCGUGCGCAGGCGGUUCGUUAUGUCCGAUGUGAAAGCCCCGAGCUCAACUUGGGAAUGGCAUUGGAAACUGGCGGGCUGGAGUGUGGCAGAGGGGGGUGGAAUUCCACGUUUAGCAGUGAAAUGCGUAGAGAUGUGGAGGAACACCGAUGGCGAAGGCAGCCCCCUGGGCCAACACUGACGCUCAGGCACGAAAGCGUGGGGAGCAAACAGG
Molecule: ribosomal RNA, 253 nt
Filed under: uncultured bacterium
Lineage: Bacteria
Description: partial 16S ribosomal RNA
Rfam family: Bacterial small subunit ribosomal RNA
Source: RNAcentral